This 254-nucleotide ribosomal RNA is filed under the name uncultured bacterium. RNAcentral's name for it is "partial 16S ribosomal RNA". It matches the Rfam family "Bacterial small subunit ribosomal RNA", at positions 524 to 776 of the family's 1533-position model. The record is from RNAcentral.
UACGUAGGGGGCAAGCGUUAUCCGGAUUUACUGGGUGUAAAGGGAGCGUAGGCGGCAUGGUAAGCCAGAAGUGAAAACCCGGGGCUCAACCCCGCGGAUUGCUUUUGGAACUAUCAGGCUGGAGUGCUGGAGGGGUAAGCGGAAUUCCUAGUGUAGCGGUGAAAUGCGUAGAUAUUAGGAGGAACACCGGUGGCGAAGGCGGCUUACUGGACAGAAACUGACACUGAGGCUCGAAAGCGUGGGGAGCAAACAGG